CCUACGGGAGGCAGCAGUGGGGAAUCUUGCGCAAUGGGCGAAAGCCUGACGCAGCAACGCCGCGUGCGGGAAGAAGGCCUUCGGGUUGUAAACCGCUUUCAGAAGGAACGAAAAUGACGGUACUUUCAGAAGAAGGUGCGGCCAACUACGUGCCAGCAGCCGCGGUGACACGUAGGCACCAAGCGUUGUCCGGAUUUAUUGGGCGUAAAGAGCUCGUAGGCGGUUCGGUAAGUCAGAUGUGAAAACUUUGGGCUCAACCCAAGGCCUGCAUCUGAUACUGCUGUGACUUGAGUUCGGUAGGGGAGUGGGGAAUUCCUAGUGUAGCGGUGAAAUGCGCAGAUAUUAGGAGGAACACCGGUGGCGAAGGCGCCACUCUGGGCCGAAACUGACGCUGAGGAGCGAAAGCGUGGGUAGCAAACAGGAUUAGAUACCCUGGUAGUCCACGCCGUAAACGUUGGGCACUAGGUGUGGGUUCCAACCAACGGAAUCCGCGCCGUCGCUAACGCAUUAAGUGCCCCGCCUGGGGAGUACGGUCGCAAGCUAAAACUCAAAGGAAUUGACGG
This 563-nucleotide ribosomal RNA is filed under the name uncultured bacterium. Its description in RNAcentral is "bacterial SSU rRNA". It matches the Rfam family "Bacterial small subunit ribosomal RNA", at positions 338 to 916 of the family's 1533-position model. The record is from RNAcentral.